GACGAACGCUGGCGGCGUGCUUAACACAUGCAAGUCGAGCGGUAAGGCCCUUUCGGGGUACACGAGCGGCGAACGGGUGAGUAACACGUGGGUGACCUGCCCUCAGCGUCUGGGAUAAGCCUAGGGAAACCGGGUCUAAUACUGGAUAUGACUCCAUGACGCAUGUUGUAGGGGUGAAAGCCUUGUGUCGGCUGAGGAUGGGCCCGCGGCCUAUCCAGCUUGGUUGGUGGGGUGAGGCCUACCAAGGCGACGACGGGUAGCCGGCCUGAGAGGGCGACCGGCCACACUGGGACUGGAGACAC
This 302-nucleotide ribosomal RNA is filed under the name uncultured bacterium. Its description in RNAcentral is "bacterial SSU rRNA". It matches the Rfam family "Bacterial small subunit ribosomal RNA", at positions 28 to 327 of the family's 1533-position model. The record is from RNAcentral.